AGACUCUGUGCGCGUGCAUAUCAAUAAGCGGAGGAAAAGAAACUAACAAGGAUUCCCUUAGUAACGGCGAGUGAAGCGGGAAGAGCUCAAAUUUGAAAUCUUCAAGGUUCUACCUUGACGAAUUGUAGUUUAUAGAAGUGUUUUCUGUUAGUAGGAGUGGCAAAAGUUCUUUGGAAUAGGACAUCAUAGAGGGUGAGAAUCCCGUAUUUGGUCAUUCCUCCUAGCGUUGUGAUACGCUUUCAAAGAGUCGGAUUGUUUGGGAAUGCAGUCCAAGAUGGGUGGUAAAUUUCAUCUAAAGCUAAAUAUUGGCGAGAGACCGAUAGCGAACAAGUACCGUGAGGGAAAGAUGAAAAGAACUUUGAAAAGAGAGUUAAACAGUACGUGAAAUUGUCAAAAGGGAAGCGUUUGACACCAGUGUUGUUUUUCCGAAAAUCAAUUACGAAUGUUUUAUUUUUGAGAAGUUAUGACUUCAUCGGCUUGCUUCUCUCUUUAUCGAAACUUUCUUAAUGCACUUUUCGGUUAACAAGUCAACAUCAAUUUCUUUUGUUGUAAAAGGGUAUGAGGAAGGUGGCUUUCUUUUCGGAGAAAGUGUUUAUAGCCUUGUACCUCUGCAAUCGGAGAGAUUGAGGUCUGCAGCGUAGAUCCUUCGGGGUUAGAUACAUUUGUGCUAAGUUAUAGCUUUUCAUAGACAACUUGUUGACUAUGUUAAGUCUUGUAGCUUACUCGCUUAUGCUAUUUUACCUACGCUUAGGAUGUUGACAGCAGUAUAGACUGU
This 775-nucleotide ribosomal RNA is filed under the name uncultured Neocallimastigales. RNAcentral describes it as "partial large subunit ribosomal RNA". It matches the Rfam family "Eukaryotic large subunit ribosomal RNA", at positions 23 to 640 of the family's 3401-position model. The record is from RNAcentral. Lineage: Eukaryota; Fungi; Neocallimastigomycota; Neocallimastigomycetes; Neocallimastigales.